This is a non-coding RNA of Gasterosteus aculeatus (three-spined stickleback), 54 nucleotides long. Lineage: Eukaryota; Metazoa; Chordata; Actinopteri; Perciformes; Gasterosteidae. The record is from Rfam.
AAAAAAAAGCAAUGUAAGUCGCUUUGGAUAAAAGCGUCCGCUAAAUGAUCUGUA